RNAcentral lists this unclassified non-coding RNA (185 nucleotides) under uncultured Auriculariales. Its description in RNAcentral is "sequence contains ITS2". Lineage: Eukaryota; Fungi; Basidiomycota; Agaricomycetes; Auriculariales. The record is from RNAcentral.
UAACCCAUCGCCGCCGGUCGUUAACCCGACCGCGAAGCGGAUUUGGACGUUGCCGGCCGAGAAGGUCGGCUCGUCUCGAAAUGCAUUAGCUGGGGCACGGAGCGCAGCGCGACGUUGAUAAUCGUCUACGCCUCGCGAGCUUCGAGACCCGCUUCGAAUCGUCGUCCCCGACGACAUCUUUCAAA